UACGAAGGGGGCUAGCGUUGCUCGGAAUUACUGGGCGUAAAGGGCGCGUAGGCGGACAGUUUAGUCAGAGGUGAAAGCCCAGGGCUCAACCUUGGAAUUGCCUUUGAUACUGGCUGUCUUGAGUUCGGGAGAGGUGAGUGGAAUGCCGAGUGUAGAGGUGAAAUUCGUAGAUAUUAGGAAGAACACCAGUGGCGAAGGCGGCUCACUGGUCCGGUACUGACGCUGAGGUGCGAAAGCGUGGGGAGCAAACAGG
This 253-nucleotide ribosomal RNA is filed under the name uncultured bacterium. RNAcentral's name for it is "partial 16S ribosomal RNA". It matches the Rfam family "Bacterial small subunit ribosomal RNA", at positions 524 to 776 of the family's 1533-position model. The record is from RNAcentral.